UGGGGAAUAUUGGACAAUGGGGGCAACCCUGAUCCAGCAAUGCCGCGUGUGUGAAGAAGGCCUACGGGUUGUAAAGCACUUUCGUUGGGGAAGAAAGGUUUAGAUUGAUAAGGUCUAAGCUGUGACAUGAACUAAAGAAGAAGCACCGGCUAACUCUGUGCCAGCAGCCGCGGUAAUACAGAGGGUGCAAGCGUUAAUCGGAAUUACUGGGCGUAAAGCGCACGUAGGUGGUUUAAUAAGUUGUCUGUGAAAGCCCUGGGCUCAACCCAGGAAAGUCAGGCAAUACUGUUAGACUCGAGUCCCAUAGAGGAUAGUGGAAUUUCAGGUGUAGCGGUGAAAUGCGUAGAGAUCUGAAAGAACACCAGUGGCGAAGGCGGCUAUCUGGAUGGAGACUGACACUGAGGUGCGAAAGCGUGGGGAGCAAACAG
This 428-nucleotide ribosomal RNA is filed under the name uncultured bacterium. Its description in RNAcentral is "bacterial SSU rRNA". It matches the Rfam family "Bacterial small subunit ribosomal RNA", at positions 355 to 775 of the family's 1533-position model. The record is from RNAcentral.